Arachis duranensis is the source of this 1585-nucleotide long non-coding RNA. RefSeq lists it as uncharacterized. Lineage: Eukaryota; Viridiplantae; Streptophyta; Magnoliopsida; Fabales; Fabaceae. The record is from RefSeq and is a predicted model, not a curated record. The transcript has 5 exons.
AUAGAGCAUUAUCCCAAUAGUUGCAAUAGAGAGAGAGUUAACAAAAAAAUUCCUAAUUAGAUUUGGGGUCCAUUAGCAGCCGUUGAAGACAUGUUGCUAAUCUCCUUCUUGCUAAUCCAUCCACUUCUUAGGAAGUCUUGGAAACCUGGUUGAAGACGUUGUCAUUGCGAGAUCUCCAUAUGCUCCAACAAUAAAUCCCCAACGCAUUAGACUUCGCUCUUCCCUUAGAUUAAGAAUUAAACGUUGCUUCUUCGGCGCCCAGCACUGGAAGUACAUCAUCUUUACCAACUGCCAUAUCACGAUAUCAGGUCUCGACGGCAUUCUCCGGUAAAGCAGCUCCAUAACCGAAAGUCUUUCAUGCUGAGUAUGCUAGAGGAAAAGGAGGACUUUUGGUGGAGCUUUAAUCUUCUAGAGAUUUUGCCAAAUUCCUUGUCUUUGCUGGAGGUGUGGAUGAAGCUCAAACGGUUCAUGGUUGAAGGAAAAGGCUAUUCUGUAUCCAGAAGAGACUUCGUAUCUGCCGGAUUUGUGGAAUAACCAGAUAAGUUUAGUGAUGGCUGUUGGAAAUAUUGAAGCAAUGAGUUGUUGAUUUCAUUCAUUAUUUUCACUCAUCAGGUGAUUGACUCGUGAGACUGGUUAGUUUAUGGAAAAGGAGUUUAGUCUAAUUGGGGGAGUAAGUUGUUGCAGAGACGGAACACAUGGAUCUGAGAAAAUGUUCACCUUGGAACCAGGACCUAUUUGCCAAAUCAAGCCUUUUUUAGUGACUUUUCGCUCCUCCAGAAUGCCCCUCCAUCUCUAGGAAGAUAUUUCAGUACUCCAAUUUUUUUGUUACUACACUUGGUAGCCAUUUGAUUUUGAGUUGAAGGAAAAAAAAAGCACGGAGGUUGAUCGAAAUGGUGAGAAAGACGAUGAAGUUGAGAGAGAAGGCAAAAAGAUUUUUUUUAAGAAAAAGGAGAUGACAAUGAAGUGGCUAGGAAUGACAACUUCUCUGACAAAUUUGUGUCUUUCGGCCCGACCUCCUCACCAACACCACUUCGCCUCCACUCUACCUUAUUUUUGCCUUUCACCCGAUAAACUCUUGCUUCUCAAGGUGCUUUGUUCAGGGUCAACACUUCUCACCGAUAAUCUCCCUCAACCUCACCUCUUGUCGUGCCUCUACCUCUAUGUUGUCAUCUCUACAGAUUUAUCUGUCUUUGUGAUGUCAUUUCUAAACAUCUGUCUGUUACUGUGUAUUUACCUUUGUGCCACUAGUGACACUAUACUUGCUCUCCUUCGGUGUCACCCUUCCAUCUGCAGCCUGCUGAUUGGCCAUUUAUCUUUGCUUAACUUUAGGGUUUAGAGCUUUUAAAAUAGUUUUGUUUCGAUUUUUUUUUUAAUUGAUUUGACUAAAUUUUCUUCUUCCUAAUCAAUCUGAAAAAUUUAGAUUGUGUAUGAGCACUGAACUGUGGUUGAAGACUCUUAACUUGUAAAUUAUAAUAUGUGACAGUUGUUAAGAAUUGUUAUAUUCUUUUUUAUUUUUGUUUAAUUUUUCAUAUUUUCAAACAACCACAGAUAUUCAUAGGGAUUCAUAUAUCCAAUAGAUAAUUGG